GAUGAACGCUGGCGGCGUGCCUAAUACAUGCAAGUCGAGCGAACAGACGAGGAGCUUGCUCCUCUGACGUUAGCGGCGGACGGGUGAGUAACACGUGGAUAACCUAUCUAUAAGACUGGGAUAACUUCGGGAAACCGGAGCUAAUACCGGAUAAUAUAUUGAACCGCAUGGUUUAAUAGUGAAAGACGGUUUUGCUGUCACUUAUAGAUGGAUUCGCGCCGCAUUAGCUAGUUGGUAAGGUAACGGCUUACCAAGGCAACGAUGCGUAGCCGACCUGAGAGGGUGAUCGGCCACACUGGAACUGAGACACGGUCCAGACUCCUACGGGAGGCAGCAGUAGGGAAUCUUCCGCAAUGGGCGAAAGCCUGACGGAGCAACGCCGCGUGAGUGAUGAAGGUCUUCGGAUCGUAAAACUCUGUUAUUAGGGAAGAACAAAUGUGUAAGUAACUAUGCGCGUCUUGACGGUACCUAAUCAGAAAGCCACGGCUAACUACGUG
RNAcentral lists this ribosomal RNA (497 nucleotides) under uncultured bacterium. Its description in RNAcentral is "partial 16S ribosomal RNA". It matches the Rfam family "Bacterial small subunit ribosomal RNA", at positions 28 to 507 of the family's 1533-position model. The record is from RNAcentral.